CAAAUGACUGAUUAGAUUUGUCAGAUGUCCAUACCUAUCUCGGCAAUGCAGUUCCUCCUCUUUCUGUACGACAAAACACUACCCUGAAAGAACGGUGAACAGAAACCAGACAUCCUGCGCAACUGUAAGACAGAUCAGCUUCAGCCAUGAUUUUCCUCCUGGUACUUUCAGGACUCUGCACCAUUCCCUUUACACUCAGUCG
This 202-nucleotide long non-coding RNA is filed under the name Astyanax mexicanus (Mexican tetra). RNAcentral's name for it is "lncRNA (ENSAMXG00005018542.1)". The record is from RNAcentral. Lineage: Eukaryota; Metazoa; Chordata; Actinopteri; Characiformes; Acestrorhamphidae.